UCUUAAAAAUUUAAUCUAUUUGUACUGUUUAAAAUUAGCAUGGUUGACAGAAUAACUAGAUCGUGAUACAUGAUGUGCCACAUGUACAUUAUGUAGAUGUACAAGUCUAGUUUCUAACAGUAGAAACGGAUGAAAUUUUUAACA
Non-coding RNA from Gossypium raimondii (Peruvian cotton), 144 nucleotides. The record is from Rfam. NCBI's taxonomy places the organism in Eukaryota, Viridiplantae, Streptophyta, Magnoliopsida, Malvales, Malvaceae.